CCCGUUGAAUUUGACAACAAAUUCCAGGGAAGACCCCCGGCUACCUUCGUGCCUUCAGCCGCGGUAAUACGAAGGGGGCGAGCGUUGUUCGGAAUUACUGGGCGUAAAGGGCGCGUAGGCGGUCUUUUAAGUUAGGCGUGAAAGCCCCGGGCUCAACCCGGGAACUGCGCUUAAGACUGGAAGACUAGAAAACGGAAGAGGGUAGUGGAAUUCCCAGUGUAGAGGUGAAAUUCGUAGAUAUUGGGAAGAACACCAGUGGCGAAAGCGGCUACCUGGUCCGAUUUUGACGCUGAGGCGCGAAAGCGUGGGGAGCAAACAGGAUUAGAUACCCUGGUAGUCCACGCCGUAAACGAUGUCUGCUAGAUGUCGGGGGGUUGCCCCUCGGUGUCGCCGCUAACGCAUUAAGCAGACCGCCUGGGAAGUACGGUCGCAAGAUUAAAACUCAAAGGAAUUGACGGA
Molecule: ribosomal RNA, 459 nt
Filed under: uncultured Rhodospirillaceae bacterium
Lineage: Bacteria; Pseudomonadati; Pseudomonadota; Alphaproteobacteria; Rhodospirillales; Rhodospirillaceae
Description: bacterial SSU rRNA
Rfam family: Bacterial small subunit ribosomal RNA
Source: RNAcentral